GAACGCACAUUGCGCCCUUUGGUAUUCCUUAGGGCAUGCCUGUUCGAGCGUCAUUUUCACCUUCAAGCACAGCUUGGUGUUGGGCGUCUGUCCUCGCGGACUCGCCUCGAAACUAUUGGCAGCCACUCCAGCGGCUUUGAGCGCAGCAGAAUUGCGUCUCUUGCGGCGAGGGGGGGCAUCCAUAAGCAUACUUUUUAUUUUGACCUCGGAUCAGGUAGGGAUACCCGCUGAACUUAAG
This 238-nucleotide unclassified non-coding RNA is filed under the name uncultured Pleosporales. RNAcentral describes it as "sequence contains 5.8S rRNA gene". Lineage: Eukaryota; Fungi; Ascomycota; Dothideomycetes; Pleosporales. The record is from RNAcentral.